RNAcentral lists this ribosomal RNA (527 nucleotides) under Colletotrichum gloeosporioides. Its description in RNAcentral is "eukaryotic LSU rRNA". The stretch from base 194 to 347 matches the Rfam family "5.8S ribosomal RNA". The record is from RNAcentral. Lineage: Eukaryota; Fungi; Ascomycota; Sordariomycetes; Glomerellales; Glomerellaceae.
GUACCUGCGGAGGGAUCAUUACUGAGUUUACGCUCUAUAACCCUUUGUGAACAUACCUAUAACUGUUGCUUCGGCGGGUAGGGUCUCCGCGACCCUCCCGGCCUCCCGCCUCCGGGCGGGUCGGCGCCCGCCGGAGGAUAACCAAACUCUGAUUUAACGACGUUUCUUCUGAGUGGUACAAGCAAAUAAUCAAAACUUUUAACAACGGAUCUCUUGGUUCUGGCAUCGAUGAAGAACGCAGCGAAAUGCGAUAAGUAAUGUGAAUUGCAGAAUUCAGUGAAUCAUCGAAUCUUUGAACGCACAUUGCGCCCGCCAGCAUUCUGGCGGGCAUGCCUGUUCGAGCGUCAUUUCAACCCUCAAGCUCUGCUUGGUGUUGGGGCCCUACAGCUGAUGUAGGCCCUCAAAGGUAGUGGCGGACCCUCCCGGAGCCUCCUUUGCGUAGUAACUUUACGUCUCGCACUGGGAUCCGGAGGGACUCUUGCCGUAAAACCCCCCAAUUUCCAAAGGUGACCUCGGAUCAGUAGAUC